Ictalurus furcatus (blue catfish) is the source of this 472-nucleotide long non-coding RNA. RefSeq lists it as uncharacterized. The transcript has 4 exons. Lineage: Eukaryota; Metazoa; Chordata; Actinopteri; Siluriformes; Ictaluridae. The record is from RefSeq and is a predicted model, not a curated record.
GAAGAAUCCAUUAAGGUGUACGUCCGCGUGCGACCUUUGACCCAAGGCCGGCUGAGGACAGACGGAGACCAGGAUUUAUGUUUGACGGUGACCUCGGAUCACACGCUGCGUCUGAACUCCAAACCCAAGCCGCGAAACUUCACCUACGAUCACGUGGCGGACGUGGACGCGGCUCAGGUGAGAGGAGCGAAAGCGAAGAGUGAAUCAAACAAAACACCUACAACAAAUAGUCUAAAAGAGUCAACUCACUGAAGUGAAUCAUACCGGCGAGUUCAGAAUACAUGUUCUCCUUAGUCGCUAAAAACAUCGUGGAGUCGUGCACGCAUGGUUACAAUGGCACGAUAUUCGCAUAUGGACAGACGGGUUCAGGGAAGACCUUUACCAUGCUGGGGCCGAACGAGCUGACGGAUUUCUCUGAUCAGCUGUGUGGUGUUAUUCCUCAUAGCAUUGAGCAUUUGUAAUCCCUCAUGAG